This 33-nucleotide ribosomal RNA is filed under the name Rhytidium rugosum. RNAcentral describes it as "partial 25S ribosomal RNA". RNAcentral also lists the same sequence under 5 other names. Lineage: Eukaryota; Viridiplantae; Streptophyta; Bryopsida; Hypnales; Rhytidiaceae. The record is from RNAcentral.
CAGACCUCUAAUCGGAAAAGACUACCCGCUGAG